This 85-nucleotide transfer RNA is filed under the name Felis catus (domestic cat). It matches the Rfam family "tRNA". From Rfam's summary of the family: Transfer RNA (tRNA) molecules are approximately 80 nucleotides in length. Their secondary structure includes four short double-helical elements and three loops (D, anti-codon, and T loops). Further hydrogen bonds mediate the characteristic L-shaped molecular structure. tRNAs have two regions of fundamental functional importance: the anti-codon, which is responsible for specific mRNA codon recognition, and the 3' end, to which the tRNAs corresponding amino acid is attached (by aminoacyl-tRNA synthetases). tRNAs cope with the degeneracy of the genetic code in two manners: having more than one tRNA (with a specific anti-codon) for a particular amino acid; and 'wobble' base-pairing, i.e. permitting non-standard base-pairing at the 3rd anti-codon position. The record is from Rfam by way of RNAcentral. Lineage: Eukaryota; Metazoa; Chordata; Mammalia; Carnivora; Felidae.
GCCUGGGUGGCUCAGUCAGUUGAGCAUCCGACUUUGGCUCAGGUCAUGAUCUCAUGGUUCGUGGGUUCGAGCCCUGCAUCAGGCU